Long non-coding RNA from Pecten maximus, 1254 nucleotides. RefSeq lists it as uncharacterized. The transcript is spliced from 3 exons. The record is from RefSeq and is a predicted model, not a curated record. NCBI's taxonomy places the organism in Eukaryota, Metazoa, Mollusca, Bivalvia, Pectinida, Pectinidae.
CGUGUUUGGGCCAUAAUCCUACAUUGUAACCUAUAUACUUAUCCGAGCGGAACGGCGAACAACAAAACUUAUGAAAGUGUUCAUUGGAGUCUAGGUUUUUUGAUACCGAUUUCACAACUGUUCUAUAUCAAUGGAGGCGGAGUCAAAACCUAACAAGAAGGUUCAUCCAGAGGAGUCACCCGACCUCCCGGGGUAUUGUCCCGACCCCCCAUCGUACCAGCCUUACCCCUCAACUUCAGGGGCGGGGCCAUACCUUAUACAGCUACCGGCAAAUUAUCCACCCCAGAAUCUCCGAUGUCCUCCCGGCUCUCAGGUCAUACAGAUACAUGGCUCGACGGUGGUGACAGGAAGGGCCCCGAUCUCCGUAAAACCGCGUCCCCACGCGACAAUCCUGGUCAUGCUGUGUGUGUUUCUGUUUAUGCUGUUCUUCAUUACGCCCAUUAUUUUCGGAGUAAUUUUUGCUUUAAUGUGACAUUUUUUGUACCACCUCCUUAUAAUGAGUAUAUCUUCAUAUACCGAGCCCUCCAGGUAUUGUCAUUAAUUUUAAACCGCUUUAUAAUGCAGGGAAAAGUGUCGACUUGUUUUAUUUUAGUUUUUAUUUCCAGCACAAUAAUUUCUUGACAAUGAUAAAAGACAACAAAUGGAUUGAAUUCAGGGCUAUGAAAGAGAGAGAGAGGGAGAAAAAGACUAUUGCAAGUGUAUAAAGUGUUAUAACUCAAGCGAGGUAACUCCCACGUCUGUGAAAGAUAAGAAAUCCUCACAAUUUAAACAUCAUUAUUAAAAAAAUGUAAAUUGGCAUUUUUAUCGCCUGCUCUCUCAAAUCAGAAUGGAAACUUGUGUAUAUUCCUCGAUUGUAUUUGUUAAAUGAGCAAACAAUAUAUCUCAUACCAGUUAUAUGUCAUUCUGAUCAUUUCCGGUUUUAUUGUUAAUAAAAUACCGUAAAUGGACAUAUUUUAGCGGUAAUUUUAUUUUAGCGGUUUUCACUCAAGCAUUGCUUCACUGAAGCCUUGCGUUGAAUUAUGAUCGCUCUAAUUGUAUACAGUGUAAUUUGUGAGCUAUUUCUACGGAAAAUGUAAGAAUGCGCUAAUCCGUCAUUGCACUGAUUUGUUAUAAUUUGGAAAAAGACGAAAAUUUGAGAACGCCAAAAUUAAUACGGUUACAGUAUUAUUAGGUGUAAUUCAUAGUGAUUCAGUUUUGUUACGUUUUUAUGAUAAUUUAUGGUUUUGUUAGAAAUAAAAUGUUAUGUAUACGUCA